GGAAUAUUGGUCAAUGGGCGUGAGCCUGAACCAGCCAAGUAGCGUGCAGGAUGACGGCCCUAUGGGUUGUAAACUGCUUUUAUGCGGGGAUAAAGUGCGGCACGUGUGCCGUUUUGUAGGUACCGCAUGAAUAAGGACCGGCUAAUUCCGUGCCAGCAGCCGCGGUAAUACGGAAGGUCCGGGCGUUAUCCGGAUUUAUUGGGUUUAAAGGGAGCGCAGGCGGCCUUUUAAGCGUGACGUGAAAUGUAGGCGCUCAACGUCUGAAUUGCGUCGCGAACUGUUAGGCUUGAGUAGACGGAAUGUCGGCGGAAUUCGUGGUGUAGCGGUGAAAUGCUUAGAUAUCACGAAGAACUCCGAUUGCGCAGGCAGCCUUCCAGUCCGUUACUGACGCUAAAGCUCGAAGGUGCGGGUAUCGAACA
RNAcentral lists this ribosomal RNA (419 nucleotides) under uncultured Prevotella sp. RNAcentral describes it as "bacterial SSU rRNA". It matches the Rfam family "Bacterial small subunit ribosomal RNA", at positions 358 to 774 of the family's 1533-position model. Lineage: Bacteria; Pseudomonadati; Bacteroidota; Bacteroidia; Bacteroidales; Prevotellaceae. The record is from RNAcentral.